GACGAACGCUGGCGGCGUGCUUAACACAUGCAAGUCGAACGGUAAGGCCCUUCGGGGUACACGAGUGGCGAACGGGUGAGUAACACGCGGGUGAUCUGCCCUGCACUUCGGGCUAAGCCUGGGCAACUGGGUCUAAUACCGGAUAGGACCACUGCCUGCAUGGGUGGUGGUGGAAAGCUUUUGCGGUGUGGGAUGGGCCCGCGGCCUAUCAGCUUGUUGGUGGGGUGAUGGCCUACCAAGGCGACGACGGGUAGCCGGCCUGAGAGGGUGACCGGCCACACUGGGACUGAGAUACGGCCCAGACUCCUACGGGAGGCAGCAGUGGGGAAUAUUGCACAAUGGGCGCAAGCCUGAUGCAGCGACGCCGCGUGAGGGAUGACGGCCUUCGGGUUGUAAACCUCUUUCAGCACCGACGAAGCGCAAGUGACGGUAGGUGCAGAAGAAGGACCGGCCAACUACGUGCCAGCCGCCGCAGUAA
Molecule: ribosomal RNA, 478 nt
Filed under: uncultured bacterium
Lineage: Bacteria
Description: partial 16S ribosomal RNA
Rfam family: Bacterial small subunit ribosomal RNA
Source: RNAcentral